This 468-nucleotide ribosomal RNA is filed under the name uncultured bacterium. Its description in RNAcentral is "partial 16S ribosomal RNA". It matches the Rfam family "Bacterial small subunit ribosomal RNA", at positions 28 to 507 of the family's 1533-position model. The record is from RNAcentral.
GACGAACGCUGGCGGCGUGCUUAACACAUGCAAGUCGAACGGAAAGGCCCUGCUUUUGUGGGGUGCUCGAGUGGCGAACGGGUGAGUAACACGUGAGUAACCUGCCCUUGACUUUGGGAUAACUUCAGGAAACUGGGGCUAAUACCGGAUAGGAGCUCCUGCUGCAUGGUGGGGGUUGGAAAGUUUCGGCGGUUGGGGAUGGACUCGCGGCUUAUCAGCUUGUUGGUGGGGUAGUGGCUUACCAAGGCUUUGACGGGUAGCCGGCCUGAGAGGGUGACCGGCCACAUUGGGACUGAGGUACGGCGCAGACUCCUACGGGAGGCAGCAGUGGGGAAUAUUGCACAAUGGGCGGAAGCGUGAUGCAGCAACGCCGCGUGCGGGAUGACGGCCUUCGGGUUGUAAACCGCUUUCGCCUGUGACGAAGCGUGAGUGACGGUAAUGGGUAAAGAAGCACCGGCUAACUACGUG